RNAcentral lists this transfer RNA (69 nucleotides) under Marmota monax (woodchuck). It matches the Rfam family "tRNA". Rfam says of the family: Transfer RNA (tRNA) molecules are approximately 80 nucleotides in length. Their secondary structure includes four short double-helical elements and three loops (D, anti-codon, and T loops). Further hydrogen bonds mediate the characteristic L-shaped molecular structure. tRNAs have two regions of fundamental functional importance: the anti-codon, which is responsible for specific mRNA codon recognition, and the 3' end, to which the tRNAs corresponding amino acid is attached (by aminoacyl-tRNA synthetases). tRNAs cope with the degeneracy of the genetic code in two manners: having more than one tRNA (with a specific anti-codon) for a particular amino acid; and 'wobble' base-pairing, i.e. permitting non-standard base-pairing at the 3rd anti-codon position. Lineage: Eukaryota; Metazoa; Chordata; Mammalia; Rodentia; Sciuridae. The record is from Rfam by way of RNAcentral.
GGGGCUGUGGCUCAGUGGUAGAGCGCUCACCUAGCAUGUCUGAGGCACUAGGUUCAAUCCUCAGCACCA